Molecule: ribosomal RNA, 776 nt
Filed under: uncultured Neocallimastigales
Lineage: Eukaryota; Fungi; Neocallimastigomycota; Neocallimastigomycetes; Neocallimastigales
Description: partial large subunit ribosomal RNA
Rfam family: Eukaryotic large subunit ribosomal RNA
Source: RNAcentral
UACUAGAGUAGCACUCGCAUAUCAAUAAGCGGAGGAAAAGAAACUAACAAGGAUUCCCUUAGUAACGGCGAGUGAAGCGGGAAGAGCUCAAAUUUGAAAUCUUCAAGGUUCUACCUUGACGAAUUGUAGUUUAUAGAAGUGUUUUCUGUUAGUGGAGUGGCAAAAGUUCUUUGGAAUAGGACAUCAUAGAGGGUGAGAAUCCCGUAUUUGGUCAUUCCUCCUAGCGUUGUGAUACACUUUCAACGAGUCGGAUUGUUUGGGAAUGCAGUCCAAAAUGGGUGGUAAAUUUCAUCUAAAGCUAAAUAUUGGCGAGAGACCGAUAGCGAACAAGUACCGUGAGGGAAAGAUGAAAAGAACUUUGAAAAGAGAGUUAAACAGUACGUGAAAUUGUCAAAAGGGAAGCGUUUGACACCAGUGUUGUUUUUCCGAAAAUCAAUUACGAAUGUUUUGUUUUUGAGGAGUUAUGACUUCAUCGGCUUGCUCCUUUCUUUACGAAACUUUCUUAAUGCACUUUUCGGUUAACAAGUCAACAUCAAUUUCUUUUGUUGUAAAAGGGUAUGAGGAAGGUGGCUUUCUUUUCGGAGAAAGUGUUUAUAGCCUUGUAGCCUCUGCAAUCGGAGAGAUUGAGGUCUGCAGCGUAGAUCCUUCGGGGUUAGAUACAGUUUGUGCUAAGUUAUAGCUUUUCAUAGACAACUUGUUGACUAUGUUUAGUCUUGUAGCUUACUCGCUUAUGCUAUUUUACCUACGCUUAGGAUGUUGAAGAUGUAGCACAUCAU